RNAcentral lists this ribosomal RNA (272 nucleotides) under uncultured bacterium. RNAcentral's name for it is "partial 16S ribosomal RNA". It matches the Rfam family "Bacterial small subunit ribosomal RNA", at positions 524 to 794 of the family's 1533-position model. The record is from RNAcentral.
UACGGAGGGUGCAAGCGUUAAUCGGAAUUACUGGGCGUAAAGCGCACGCAGGCGGUCUGUCAAGUCGGAUGUGAAAUCCCCCGGGCUCAACCUGGGAACUGCAUCCGAAACUGGCAGGCUAGAGUCUUGUAGAGGGGGGUAGAAUUCCAGGUGUAGCGGUGAAAUGCGUAGAGAUCUGGAGGAAUACCGGUGGCGAAGGCGGCCCCCUGGACAAAGACUGACGCUCAGGUGCGAAAGCGUGGGGAGCAAACAGGAUUAGAUACCCGCGUAGU